GACGAACGCUGGCGGCGUGCCUAAUACAUGCAAGUAGAACGCUGAAGCGAGGAGCUUGCUCUUCUUGGAUGAGUUGCGAACGGGUGAGUAACGCGUAGGUAACCUGCCUGGUAGCGGGGGAUAACUAUUGGAAACGAUAGCUAAUACCGCAUAAAAUGGAUUAUCGCAUGAUAAUCCAUUGAAAGGUGCAAAUGCAUCACUACAAGAUGGACCUGCGUUGUAUUAGCUAGUAGGUGGGGUAACGGCUCACCUAGGCGACGAUACAUAGCCGACCUGAGAGGGUGAGCGGCCAAACUGGGACUGAGACACGGCCCAGACUCCUACGGGAGGCAGCAGUAGGGAAUCUUCGGCAAUGGAAGGAAGUCUGACCGAGCAACGCCGCGUGAGUGAAGAAGGUUUUCGGAUCGUAAAGCUCUGUUGUAAGAGAAGAACGAGUGUGAGAGUGGAAAGUUCACACUGUGACGGUAUCUUACCAGAAAGGGACGGCUAACUACGUG
Molecule: ribosomal RNA, 497 nt
Filed under: uncultured bacterium
Lineage: Bacteria
Description: partial 16S ribosomal RNA
Rfam family: Bacterial small subunit ribosomal RNA
Source: RNAcentral